Molecule: small nuclear RNA, 105 nt
Organism: Callorhinchus milii (elephant shark)
Lineage: Eukaryota; Metazoa; Chordata; Chondrichthyes; Chimaeriformes; Callorhinchidae
Source: RefSeq, a predicted model, not a curated record
GUGCUUGGUUAAGCUGCACAUACAUUAAAAUUGAAAUGAUAAGAAAAUAAAGCAAGAAUCCUGGGCAAGGAUGAGAUGCAGAUUCAUGAAGAGUUAAAACCAUUU